GUGCUCGCUUCGGCAGCACAUAUAUUAAAAUUGGAACGAUACAGAGAAGAUUAGCAUAGCCUCUGCACGAGGAUAACACGCAAAUUCAUGAAGAUUUCCAUAUUAAA
Molecule: small nuclear RNA, 107 nt
Filed under: Castor canadensis (American beaver)
Lineage: Eukaryota; Metazoa; Chordata; Mammalia; Rodentia; Castoridae
Source: RNAcentral